CGACAAGCUAGAUAAGGGCGUAUGGGGAAUGCCUAGGCUCUCAGAGGCGACGAAGGACGUGAUAAGCUGCGAAAAGCCGCGGGGAUCGGCACACACGAUAUGAUCCGCGGAUGUCCGAAUGGGGCAACCCACCACGCUGAAGGCGUGGUAUCCCGCAAGGGAGGCAAACCCGGUGAACUGAAACAUCUAAGUAGCCGGAGGAGGAGAAAACAAAAGUGAUUCCGAGAGUAGCGGCGAGCGAAAUCGGAUUAGUCCAAACCAAUGUUGUUUCGGCAAUAUUGGGGUUGUAGGACCACGCUGUUCGAACUACAAUGAACUAGAACCCUUUGGAAAGAGGGGCCAUAGACGGUGACAGCCCGGUAUAGGCAAAGCGUAGUGAGAUAGUGGUAUCCUGAGUAGUGCGGGGCACGUGAAACCCUGUAUGAAACCGGCGGGACCAUCCGCCAAGACUAAAUACUCCUGAGAGACCGAUAGUGUACCAGUACCGUGAGGGAAAGGUGAAAAGAACCGUGAAUAACGGAGUGAAAAAGAUCCUGAAACCAUACGCUUACAAGCGGUCGGAGCCGCGCCUUGUGCGCGGUGACGGCGUGCCUUUUGCAUAAUGAGCCUACGAGUUACUUUUACUGGCAAGGUUAAGUCCUUUAGGGACGGAGCCGUAGCGAAAGUGAGUAUGAACAGGGCGCCCAUAGUCAGUAGUAGUAGACGCGAAACCGUGCGAUCUACCCAUGGGCAGGGUGAAGCAGUGGUAACACACUGUGGAGGCCCGAACCCGUUGACGUUGAAAAGUCUUGGGAUGACCUGUGGGUAGGGG
RNAcentral lists this ribosomal RNA (811 nucleotides) under Aestuariibacter sp. RNAcentral describes it as "partial 23S ribosomal RNA". It matches the Rfam family "Bacterial large subunit ribosomal RNA", at positions 1 to 821 of the family's 2925-position model. Lineage: Bacteria; Pseudomonadati; Pseudomonadota; Gammaproteobacteria; Alteromonadales; Alteromonadaceae. The record is from RNAcentral.